UUUGUGAUCCUGCCGGCCCAAAGCACAAAGCCCAUCCUCACGUACGUCAAGAAAUUCUAUACAUGCGAUUCAUAUGUUAUCAUCAAUGGUUGUUAGAUUCACUAUGUGCCUUUGACCCAACGCCUUGAUUCCAGUCCAUUGGUAAUCAGGAAUUAAGUACCCUACCCAAGCCGGCUAGCCGCCUCCUCCUCUUGAUUCCGAUUUCCCCAUAUUCCUCUUGGUAACAUCCGUGGAAACAAGAUUCAUGUCGUCCUAUUUCAAUUGGAUCAUCUCCCCUCCAUCCAUCAUGGAUUGAUCUAUUCUCCAUGACCAUGCGACUAGAACGACGGAGUAAUUGGCCAGAUCAUUUGAAGGAGGCAAAAGCUUUUCGGUGUCGUUGGAGCAUGGAAGGCCACGCUCAGCAAGGAAAGUACAACCCCGAGAGGAAGAAGCAGGCAUCUGGUCCGAUGGUUGGAGCGGAUGAGGCUACCAGCACCAUGACCCACACCCAGCAAGUGGAAGCACGUCAAUACGUCACUGUAGCAAAAGCCUAGAAGUAGGUGAAGAGCUCCUCAAGGUUUUGCUUGGAUACAUGUAUAUCUAAUUUUCCCAUCUCCAAUUUUCUACGUGGCCUCCCACAAGUGGACACUUCUUCCCGUUCUCUUUUCAUUGCCUC
RNAcentral lists this long non-coding RNA (655 nucleotides) under Hordeum vulgare. RNAcentral's name for it is "long non-coding RNA (HVUL_LNC003255)". The record is from RNAcentral. Lineage: Eukaryota; Viridiplantae; Streptophyta; Magnoliopsida; Poales; Poaceae.